Molecule: ribosomal RNA, 460 nt
Filed under: uncultured bacterium
Lineage: Bacteria
Description: partial 16S ribosomal RNA
Rfam family: Bacterial small subunit ribosomal RNA
Source: RNAcentral
CCUACGGGCGGCAGCAGUGAGGAAUAUUGGUCAAUGGCCGUAAGGCUGAACCAGCCAAGUAGCGUGAAGGAUGACUGCCCUACGGGUUGUAAACUUCUUUUAUAAAGGAAUAAAGUGAGGCACGUGUGCCUUUUUGCAUGUACUUUAUGAAUAAGGAUCGGCUAACUCCGUGCCAGCAGCCGCGGUAAUACGGAGGAUCCGAGCGUUAUCCGGAUUUAUUGGGUUUAAGGGGAGCGUAGAUGGGUUGUUAAGUCAGUUGUGAAAGUUUGCGGCUCAACCGUAAAAUUGCAAUUGAUACUGGCAGCCUUGAGUACAGUUGAGGUAGGCGGAAUUCGUGGUGUAGCGGUGAAAUGCUUAGAUAUCACGAAGAACUCCGAUUGCGAAGGCAGCUUACUAAACUGCGACUGACAUUGAUGCUCGAAAGUGUGGGUAUCAAACAGGAUUAGAUACCCCGGUAGUC